UGGGGAAUAUUGGACAAUGGGCGAAAGCCUGAUCCAGCCAUGCCGCGUGUGUGAAGAAGGCCUUUUGGUUGUAAAGCACUUUAAGCGAGGAGGAGGCUACUUAGAUUAAUACUCUAGGAUAGUGGACGUUACUCGCAGAAUAAGCACCGGCUAACUCUGUGCCAGCAGCCGCGGUAAUACAGAGGGUGCGAGCGUUAAUCGGAUUUACUGGGCGUAAAGCGUGCGUAGGCGGCUUUUUAAGUCGGAUGUGAAAUCCCUGAGCUUAACUUAGGAAUUGCAUUCGAUACUGGGAAGCUAGAGUAUGGGAGAGGAUGGUAGAAUUCCAGGUGUAGCGGUGAAAUGCGUAGAGAUCUGGAGGAAUACCGAUGGCGAAGGCAGCCAUCUGGCCUAAUACUGACGCUGAGGUACGAAAGCACGGGGAGCAAACAGG
RNAcentral lists this ribosomal RNA (430 nucleotides) under bacterium. Its description in RNAcentral is "partial 16S ribosomal RNA". It matches the Rfam family "Bacterial small subunit ribosomal RNA", at positions 355 to 776 of the family's 1533-position model. The record is from RNAcentral.